UACAGAGGGUGCGAGCGUUAAUCGGAAUUACUGGGCGUAAAGCGUGCGUAGACGGCUAUCUAAGUCGGGUGUGAAAGCCCCGGGCUCAACCCAGAGCCUGCAUCCAAAACUGGCGGGCUAGAGUUCUGGAGGGGGUAGCGGAAUUCCUGGUGUAGCGGUGAAAUGCGUAGAUAUCAGGAGGAACACCGGUGGCGAAGGCGGCUACCUGGACAGAAACUGACGCUGAGGAGCGAAAGCUAGGGGAGCAAACAGG
This 253-nucleotide ribosomal RNA is filed under the name uncultured bacterium. RNAcentral describes it as "partial 16S ribosomal RNA". It matches the Rfam family "Bacterial small subunit ribosomal RNA", at positions 524 to 776 of the family's 1533-position model. The record is from RNAcentral.